AGGGUUUGACAUCCUGUGACCGCUCCUUAAUAGGAGUUUUCCCGCAAGGGACGCAGAGACAGGUGCUGCAUGGCUGUCGUCAGCUCGUGUCGUGAGAUGUUGGGUUAAGUCCCGCAACGAGCGCAACCCUCGCCUUUAGUUGCCAUCAUUCAGUUGGGCACUCUAGAGGGACCGCCGGCGACAAGCCGGAGGAAGGUGGGGAUGACGUCAAGUCCUCAUGGCCCUUACACCCUGGGCUACACACGUGCUACAAUGGCGGUGACAGUGGGCAGCUACUUCGCGAGGAGCGGCUAAUCCCAAAAAACCGUCCCAGUUCAGAUUGCACUCUGCAACUCGAGUGCAUGAAGGUGGAAUCGCUAGUAAUCGCAGAACAGCAGGCUGCGGUGAAUACGUUCCCGGGCC
This 402-nucleotide ribosomal RNA is filed under the name uncultured bacterium. RNAcentral's name for it is "bacterial SSU rRNA". It matches the Rfam family "Bacterial small subunit ribosomal RNA", at positions 976 to 1380 of the family's 1533-position model. The record is from RNAcentral.